GCGCUGCGCGGCGCGUCGCUUCGUGUCAAAAUAUUAUCUACAGACCGUUCACUAUAACUUGUCCCCUGACGUUAUGUUACGAUUGCAAAUCACACAAUAAUAAACCCUAAAUUCUAAGGAAUAAAGCAAACAAGGCAAUGAUGCCAACAUGACGGGAGGGGACUAGUUAUAA
Molecule: long non-coding RNA, 172 nt
Organism: Maniola jurtina (meadow brown)
Lineage: Eukaryota; Metazoa; Arthropoda; Insecta; Lepidoptera; Nymphalidae
Exons: 3
Source: RefSeq, a predicted model, not a curated record